GUGGCUUCGGUCGUACGUACACUAAAAUAGGAAGGAUACAGUGACGAUGAGCACGGCGUAUGCGCAAGGAUAACAUGCAAAACCGUAGACAGUGAUACUGUUGCU
Molecule: small nuclear RNA, 105 nt
Organism: Schistocerca cancellata (South American locust)
Lineage: Eukaryota; Metazoa; Arthropoda; Insecta; Orthoptera; Acrididae
Source: RefSeq, a predicted model, not a curated record